GAUGAACGCUGGCGGCGUGCCUAAUACAUGCAAGUCGAGCGAACAGAUAAGGAGCUUGCUCCUUUGACGUUAGCGGCGGACGGGUGAGUAACACGUGGGUAACCUACCUAUAAGACUGGAAUAACUCCGGGAAACCGGGGCUAAUGCCGGAUAACAUUUAGAACCGCAUGGUUCUAAAGUGAAAGAUGGUUUUGCUAUCACUUAUAGGUGGACCCGCGCCGUAUUAGCUAGUUGGUAAGGUAACGGCUUACCAAGGCAACGAUACGUAGCCGACCUGAGAGGGUGAUCGGCCACACUGGAACUGAGACACGGUCCAGACUCCUACGGGAGGCAGCAGUAGGGAAUCUUCCGCAAUGGGCGAAAGCCUGACGGAGCAACGCCGCGUGAGUGAUGAAGGUCUUCGGAUCGUAAAACUCUGUUAUUAGGGAAGAACAAAUGUGUAAGUAACUGUGCACGUCUUGACGGUACCUAAUCAGAAAGCCACGGCUAACUACGU
Molecule: ribosomal RNA, 496 nt
Filed under: uncultured bacterium
Lineage: Bacteria
Description: partial 16S ribosomal RNA
Rfam family: Bacterial small subunit ribosomal RNA
Source: RNAcentral